This is a long non-coding RNA of Dicentrarchus labrax (European seabass), 504 nucleotides long. RefSeq lists it as uncharacterized. The transcript has 3 exons. Lineage: Eukaryota; Metazoa; Chordata; Actinopteri; Moronidae. The record is from RefSeq and is a predicted model, not a curated record.
CACCAGGAAACAUGGUGCCUGUGUGUGUGUGUUAGACAGAGAGAGAUACUCAGAUAAAGUACCAUCUGCUGUGCUGUCUCACUGUCAGUUAAGACUUGUAUAAGACUGAUGGGUGACAACCCUUUUUGCUGAUGUGGCUGCAAAUCCGAGGACCGUAUUUCUGCAGAAGAUAUGUGUCGGGCUUUGUUACACCCAGAAAGGGGAAACUCUACAAGGCUGUUACAAAUCUUAACAAGUGCUGGGAAACACACUGCUGCGAUACACUAUGGAGAAAAAGGACGACACUAUGAGAUGCCUGAAGUGUCAGAAAGAGGCAAAAGGCUGCAAUCAAACGCGGGCCGCUGCGGUAAGGACUCAGCCUGGGGAGUGAGCUCUACCAGGGGAGCUACUGGGGUGCCCUGUGAAUGAAAGAUUUGAUAAGGGAUUUGUUGGCCACAGAGCUCAACAAAUCUGGGUAUCUUACUAACGUGGAUCCGGAUCCAAAAUAGAACUGUAAAUCAUGAA